AAUGAGCGCUGGCGGCAGGCCUAACACAUGCAAGUCGAACGGAUCCUUCGGGAUUAGUGGCGGACGGGUGAGUAACGCGUGGGAACAUACCCAAAGGUACGGAAUAGCCUCGGGAAACUGGGAGUAAUACCGUAUGUGCUCGAAAGAGGAAAGAUUUAUCGCCUUUGGAUUGGCCCGCGUUGGAUUAGGUAGUUGGUGGGGUAAUGGCCUACCAAGCCGACGGUCCAUAGCUGGUUUGAGAGGAUGAUCAGCCACACUGGGACUGAGACACGGCCCAGACUCCUACGGGAGGCAGCAGUGGGGAAUCUUAGACAAUGGGGGAAACCUUGAUCUAGCCAUGCCGCGUGAUCGAUGAAGGCCUUAGGGUUGUAAAGAUCUUUCAGGUGGGAAGAUAAUGACUGUACCACCAGAAGAAGCCCCGGCUAACUCCGUGCCAGCCGCCGCGGUAA
RNAcentral lists this ribosomal RNA (449 nucleotides) under uncultured bacterium. RNAcentral's name for it is "partial 16S ribosomal RNA". It matches the Rfam family "Bacterial small subunit ribosomal RNA", at positions 29 to 523 of the family's 1533-position model. The record is from RNAcentral.